GUUAUAGGAUCAAGCGACUAAGUGCAUAUGGUGGAUGCCUUGGCGAUCACAGGCGAUGAAGGACGUAGUAGCCUGCGAAAAGCUGCGGGGAGCUGGCAAACAAGCAUUGAUCCGCAGAUAUCCGAAUGGGGAAACCCACCGCGCAAGCGGUAUCCCUGGCUGAAUACAUAGGCCAGUGGAGGCGAACCGGGUGAACUGAAACAUCUCAGUAGCUCGAGGAAAAGAAAUCAACCGAGAUUCCGAAAGUAGUGGCGAGCGAAAUCGGAAGAGCCUUUACGAUUUAGCAUUUUGCAUAGUCGAACGGAAUGGAAAGUCCGGCCGUAGCAGGUGAUAGCCCUGUAGACGAAAUGCAGAGUGUGGAACUAGGCGUAAGAGAAGUAGGGCGGGACACGUGAAAUCCUGUCUGAAGAUGGGGGGACCAUCCUCCAAGGCUAAAUACUCGUGAUCGACCGAUAGUGAACCAGUACCGUGAGGGAAAGGCGAAAAGAACCCCGGAAGGGGAGUGAAAUAGAUCCUGAAACCGUAUGCAUACAAACAGUCGGAGCCUCUUUAUGGGGUGACGGCGUACCUUUUGUAUAAUGGGUCAGCGACUUACAUUCAGUGGCGAGCUUAACCGAAUAGGGAAGGCGUAGCGAAAGCGAGUCCGAAUAGGGCGUCCAGUCGCUGGGUGUAGACCCGAAACCAGAUGAUCUACCCAUGGCCAGGUUGAAGGCACGGUAACACGUGCUGGAGGACCGAACCCACUAGUGUUGAAAAACUAGGGGAUGAGCUGUGGAUAGGGGUGAAAGGCUAAACAAAUCUGGAAAUAGCUGGUUCUCUCCGAAAACUAUUUAGGUAGUGCCUCAAGUAUUACUGCAGGGGGUAGAGCACUGUUAUGGCUAGGGGGUCAUGGCGACUUACCAAACCAUGGCAAACUCCGAAUACCUGCAAGUACAGCUUGGGAGACAGAGCACCGGGUGCUAACGUCCGGACUCAAGAGGGAAACAACCCAGACCGCCAGCUAAGGUCCCGAAUUAUCGCUAAGUGGGAAACGAAGUGGGAAGGCAUAGACAGUCAGGAGGUUGGCUUAGAAGCAGCCACCCUUUAAAGAAAGCGUAAUAGCUCACUGAUCGAGUCGUCCUGCGCGGAAGAUGUAACGGGGCUAAGCGAUAAACCGAAGCUGCGGGUGUGUACUAUGUACACGCGGUAGGAGAGCGUUCUGUAAGCCUGCGAAGGUGGCUUGUGAAGGCUGCUGGAGGUAUCAGAAGUGCGAAUGCUGACAUGAGUAGCGAUAAAGGGGGUGAAAAGCCCCCUCGCCGUAAGUCCAAGGUUUCCUGCGCAACGUUCAUCGGCGCAGGGUGAGUCGGCCCCUAAGGCGAGGCAGAGAUGCGUAGCUGAUGGGAAGCUGGUUAAUAUUCCAGCACCGUCGUACAGUGCGAUGGGGGGACGGAUCGCGGAAGAUCAUCAGGGUGUUGGAUGUCCCUGUUGCUGCAUUGAAGAUGGCGCUUAGGCAAAUCCGGGCGCGUAAAUCAAGGGUGUGGCUCGAGCGAGCAUGUCUCGCGAAGUGAUUGGAAGUGGUUCCAAGAAAAGCCUCUAAGCUUCAGCUGUACGAGACCGUACCGCAAACCGACACAGGUGGACGGGAUGAAUAUUCCAAGGCGCUUGAGAGAACUCGGGAGAAGGAACUCGGCAAAUUAAUACCGUAACUUCGGGAGAAGGUAUGCCCCGGUAGUGUGAGGCGCCUGCGCGCUGAGCAUGAUGGGGUCGCAGAGAAUCGGUGGCUGCGACUGUUUAUUAAAAACACAGCACUCUGCAAAGACGAAAGUCGACGUAUAGGGUGUGACGCCUGCCCGGUGCCGGAAGGUUAAGUGAUGGGGUGCAAGCUCUUGAUCGAAGCCCCGGUAAACGGCGGCCGUAACUAUAACGGUCCUAAGGUAGCGAAAUUCCUUGUCGGGUAAGUUCCGACCUGCACGAAUGGCGUAACGAUGGCCACACUGUCUCCUCCCGAGACUCAGCGAAGUUGAAGUGUUUGUGAUGAUGCAAUCUACCCGCGGCUAGACGGAAAGACCCCAUGAACCUUUACUGUAGCUUUGCAUUGGACUGUGAACCGGCCUGUGUAGGAUAGGUGGGAGGCGCUGAGCUCGAGUCGCUAGAUUCGAGGGAGCCGACCUUGAAAUACCACCCUGGUUUGUUUGCGGUUCUAACCUUGGUCCGUUAUCCGGAUCGGGGACAGUGCAUGGUGGGGCAGUUUGACUGGGGCGGUCUCCUCCCAAAGUGUAACG
Molecule: ribosomal RNA, 2261 nt
Filed under: Bordetella holmesii F627
Lineage: Bacteria; Pseudomonadati; Pseudomonadota; Betaproteobacteria; Burkholderiales; Alcaligenaceae
Description: bacterial LSU rRNA
Rfam family: Bacterial large subunit ribosomal RNA
Source: RNAcentral